Molecule: ribosomal RNA, 899 nt
Filed under: uncultured Sporosarcina sp.
Lineage: Bacteria; Bacillati; Bacillota; Bacilli; Caryophanales; Caryophanaceae
Description: bacterial SSU rRNA
Rfam family: Bacterial small subunit ribosomal RNA
Source: RNAcentral
CUGGAAGGCUUGAGUACAGAAGAGGAAAGCGGAAUUCCACGUGUAGCGGUGAAAUGCGUAGAGAUGUGGAGGAACACCAGUGGCGAAGGCGGCUAUCUGGUCUGUAACUGACGCUGAGGCGCGAAAGCAUGGGGAGCAAACAGGAUUNAGAUACCCUGGUAGUCCAUGCCGUAAANCGAUGAGUGCUAAGUGUUAGGGGGUUUCCGCCCCUUAGUGCUGGAGCAAACGCAUUAAGCACUCCGCCUGGGGAGUACGGCCGCAAGGCUGAAACUCAAAGGAAUUGACGGGGACCCGCACAAGCGGUGGAGCAUGUGGUUUAAUUCGAAGCUACGCGAAGAACCUUACCAGGUCUUGACAUCCCGCUGACCGGUAUAGAGAUAUACCUUUCCCUUCGGGGACAGCGGUGACAGGUGGUGCAUGGUUGUCGUCAGCUCGUGUCGUGAGAUGUUGGGUUAAGUCCCGUAACGAGCGCAACCCUUGACCUUAGUUGCCAGCAUUUAGUUGGGCACUCUAAGGUGACUGCCGGUGACAAACCGGAGGAAGGUGGGGAUGACGUCAAAUCAUCAUGCCCCUUAUGACCUGGGCUACACACGUGCUACAAUGGACGGUACAGAGGGUUGCCAACCCGCGAGGGGGAGCUAAUCCCAUAAAACCGUUCCCAGUUCGGAUUGCAGGCUGCAACUCGCCUGCAUGAAGCAGGAAUCGCUAGUAAUCGUGGAUCAGCAUGCCACGGUGAAUACGUUCCCGGGUCUUGUACACACCGCCCGUCACACCACGAGAGUUUGUAACACCCGAAGUCGGUGGGGUAACCCUUUUGGGAGCCAGCCGCCGAAGGUGGGACAGAUGAUUGGGGUGAAGUCGUAACAAGGUAGCCGUAUCGGAAGGUGCGGUUGGAUCAC